GGGCGUGUGGCGCAGUGGUAGCGCAAUUGCUUCGCAUGCAAGAGGUCGCCGGUUCGACUCCGGCCUCGUCCA
Molecule: transfer RNA, 72 nt
Filed under: Kuraishia capsulata CBS 1993
Lineage: Eukaryota; Fungi; Ascomycota; Pichiomycetes; Pichiales; Pichiaceae
Description: tRNA-Ala (CGC) (tRNA-Ala-CGC-1-1)
Rfam family: tRNA
About the family: Transfer RNA (tRNA) molecules are approximately 80 nucleotides in length. Their secondary structure includes four short double-helical elements and three loops (D, anti-codon, and T loops). Further hydrogen bonds mediate the characteristic L-shaped molecular structure. tRNAs have two regions of fundamental functional importance: the anti-codon, which is responsible for specific mRNA codon recognition, and the 3' end, to which the tRNAs corresponding amino acid is attached (by aminoacyl-tRNA synthetases). tRNAs cope with the degeneracy of the genetic code in two manners: having more than one tRNA (with a specific anti-codon) for a particular amino acid; and 'wobble' base-pairing, i.e. permitting non-standard base-pairing at the 3rd anti-codon position.
Source: RNAcentral